RNAcentral lists this long non-coding RNA (309 nucleotides) under Ananas comosus (pineapple). RNAcentral's name for it is "long non-coding RNA (ACOM_LNC019505)". The record is from RNAcentral. Lineage: Eukaryota; Viridiplantae; Streptophyta; Magnoliopsida; Poales; Bromeliaceae.
GAUCUAUAUAGGCUAAGGGCAUUGAAGACAAAAGAGAAGAAAAUGUAUUCAAAGUUAAUUGUAUUUGGAAAGAAAAAAUGUUAUAUGUAAUAUGAAUGUGACGAAUGCUUGUAAUAGCAUAGUAUUUAUUUUUAUGAUUAUACAAUCUAUGUAUGAAUUCUAUUUCUGUUUGAAAUGUUUUGAAUUGUAUGGAUUGUGACACCUUAGACGAACAGGAAAAACUUUGUCCGUUCGGCGGGUCUGGCGCACGUGCCCGUGCGGGACUUCUUCCACCUAAUUGGGGAAAGGACAGCGGGGCGUGAUAGACUA